RNAcentral lists this long non-coding RNA (1288 nucleotides) under Ananas comosus (pineapple). Its description in RNAcentral is "long non-coding RNA (ACOM_LNC012861)". Lineage: Eukaryota; Viridiplantae; Streptophyta; Magnoliopsida; Poales; Bromeliaceae. The record is from RNAcentral.
AAGGUUAUACUUUUAUAAUUAGGUUAAUUGCGUAUAGGUCCCUAUAAAUAUAGUGAAUUACAAAUAUAUUCCUGUAAAGUUUAAUUUUUUUUUUUGAUAGAUAGAUAGUAUGCUACCCGCUUCGUUUAUUUUAUUUAGAAAUAAACUUAGCCGGAAAUGUGAAUCAACUAGGAUUCGAACUUGGGACCUUGGGUACCAACCAUUAAGCCCUUUGCCACUUGCUCUAGGAACAGUCGGUAAUUUCAUUUGUUAUCAUUACAAAAGUUCUAAUAUUUUCAAAUAUGUUCCUGUUGUUAGAUUCUGUCAGAAAAAUUUAGUUAAUCAUAGGUUAAACACUUAGGGCAUGUUUGGUUCAUCCAUUUUGGAUAUGGAAUGGGAAUCGGUUUGAUCAAAUCCGGUUAAUUUUGUUUGGUUCGUAGAAAUCGGUUUGGGAUUCCUAUUCCAGACUGGAAUGGGAAUGGCCCAUAAACUUUCAACUUGAUUCCGAUCUUUUAGACCGGAUUGAAAUUUCAUUUCCGAAGCCUACUAAGUUCUCGAGGCCCAUGCAACCAUCUCACUCUUCUUUCCUGUAUACAUAUAAUCUUUUCACCCCUCUCUCAUAAAAAAAAAAAACACUUAUCCUCUCUCAAAACCCUAUCCCUAACUCACAUCAAUAAAAGUUUUUAAAAAUAAAUUUAAUAUUUUUUUGGAAAAAUUAUUAGAGAAUAGUAUUAUAUUUUUCAUAAAUUUUAAAUAAUAUAAAAUUAUAUUUGAGAGUAAAAUUAGUAUUAUGAUAUUCUAUAAUUUUUUAGUUUAUACGAAUCAAACAAUGGAAUGUGAAUAACUCAUUUAAAUUUUCAAUCCACAAAUGAACCAAACGUCUUGGGGGAGUGAACCAAUCCAAUUACCAUUCCAAUUCAUUCCCAUUUCAUUAUCCAUUUCAAUUCCACCCUUGAGCCAAACAAGUCCUUAACCUUGAUUAAUUUAUGAGAUAACUUGAUAUUUUUAUCCUUCUUAUAUUAUACUGCUUUAACUUUUGUAGGGAUAUAUUUGUGUUGGCAAAAUUGAUAUUUUACUUAUUUAUUGUUAAAAUAUAAAUAAUUUUCUAAUAUUAACAAACCAAAAUAAUAUAUUUGAAAAUAUUAAAACUUUUGUAAGGACAGCACUAUAUUGUAAGAGAUCUAUAUAUAUUUAACUCGAUAUAGUGUAGAUUGGAUAAUAAAGGUAAAAUUUUGAAAGAUUGGAUAAUCAUCGAGAAAUCUAUAAUAGUCCAGAUAAAAUUUAUACUUCUUUAUCGUCCAAAAUAAAA